Molecule: ribosomal RNA, 496 nt
Filed under: uncultured bacterium
Lineage: Bacteria
Description: partial 16S ribosomal RNA
Rfam family: Bacterial small subunit ribosomal RNA
Source: RNAcentral
GACGAACGCUGGCGGCGUGCCUAAUACAUGCCAGUUGAGCGCUGAAGGUUGGUACUUGUACCAACUGGAUGAGCAGCGAACGGGUGAGUAACGCGUGGGGAAUCUGCCUUUGAGCGGGGGACAACAUUUGGAAACGAAUGCUAAUACCGCAUAAAAACUUUAAACACAAGUUUUAAGUUUGAAAGAUGCAAUUGCAUCACUCAAAGAUGAUCCCGCGUUGUAUUAGCUAGUUGGUGAGGUAAAGGCUCACCAAGGCGAUGAUACAUAGCCGACCUGAGAGGGUGAUCGGCCACAUUGGGACUGAGACACGGCCCAAACUCCUACGGGAGGCAGCAGUAGGGAAUCUUCGGCAAUGGACGAAAGUCUGACCGAGCAACGCCGCGUGAGUGAAGAAGGUUUUCGGAUCGUAAAACUCUGUUGGUAGAGAAGAACGUUGGUGAGAGUGGAAAGCUCAUCAAGUGACGGUAACUACCCAGAAAGGGACGGCUAACUACGU